UACGUAGGGUGCAAGCGUUAAUCGGAAUUACUGGGCGUAAAGCGUGCGCAGGCGGUUUUGUAAGACAGAGGUGAAGUCCCCGGGCUCAACCUGGGAACUGCCUUUGUGACUGCAAGGCUUGAGUGCGGCAGAGGGGGAUGGAAUUCCGCGUGUAGCAGUGAAAUGCGUAGAUAUCAGGAGGAACACCGGUGGCGAAGGCGGCGCUCUGGACCGAGACUGACGCUGAGGCGCGAAAGCGUGGGGAGCAAACAGG
This 253-nucleotide ribosomal RNA is filed under the name uncultured bacterium. Its description in RNAcentral is "partial 16S ribosomal RNA". It matches the Rfam family "Bacterial small subunit ribosomal RNA", at positions 524 to 776 of the family's 1533-position model. The record is from RNAcentral.